Long non-coding RNA from Mya arenaria, 199 nucleotides. RefSeq lists it as uncharacterized. Lineage: Eukaryota; Metazoa; Mollusca; Bivalvia; Myida; Myidae. The transcript has 3 exons. The record is from RefSeq and is a predicted model, not a curated record.
GAAGAAUUCCAUUUGGCAAUCGGUGACGGAAAUAGUUAAUUCGAUGGGAAACUGUAGGGACCGUGACGAGGUGUAUCGGAAGUGGGUUGACAUGAAGAGCCUAACCAAAAAGAAGCUGGUUGAGCAGGUAAAAGACAGGAACCUCACAGGUGGGGGGCAAGGCAGGAAAGACCUUCAACUCUUCAGCUGGGAAGAAAAG